This 340-nucleotide unclassified non-coding RNA is filed under the name Zea mays. Its description in RNAcentral is "misc RNA Zm00001eb360600". Lineage: Eukaryota; Viridiplantae; Streptophyta; Magnoliopsida; Poales; Poaceae. The record is from RNAcentral.
UGGAACCCAACCAACCAGGCACUUAGUUCAUUGCUCAACUGCAUUAAAGUGGUAACUAUAAAGCACUUGAUACCUGUGAAAUAUAUUGUGCAAAUAGUUUGUGCUUUGCCACGAAAAUGGCUAGAACCUCCAAUGCCUAAGACCAAUCCAAAGAUUACUGGGAAUGGCGAAGUAAAUGCUAUAGCAAUAGAGAUCAUCGCUACUGUAUUCACUUUUUUUGGCUGUUUAUUUAUUGUUGUCGAAAGAUUCAAGCAAAAGCAUUGCUUACAGAAUGUAUGUAAAAAAUAUCGCCCAGCAUUCAGUAUAAACAGGCGUACCCCUUGAAUUCCUGUAACUGAUG